Molecule: long non-coding RNA, 842 nt
Filed under: Marmota monax (woodchuck)
Lineage: Eukaryota; Metazoa; Chordata; Mammalia; Rodentia; Sciuridae
Source: RNAcentral
AUUUUUUAUAAAAUAGAUUGAAAUUUAAUCUCAGUAAUUAUUUGAGUCAAUUUUCAAGCAUAGUCAAGAAGAGUCUUCUUGACUUACGCCCUUACACAAUCAUUAUAAACUAAAAAGAAAAUCAAAGCAGCUAUCUUACAUAAGAGCUUUUAUUUUACCCCAAGUUCAAUGGACCACUGAUGUUGAAGGCAAAAACUGAUUCAAUGCAGCCAAGUUACUUUGUUCACAGGAAGCAGCCCAUAUGGUUGCUUGCAAAAGAUGCAGAUGAGUCACAAAUUUUGAAUAUGGGUUGAAUUACUUAUAUAUUAUACACCAAACACAUUUUUUGUUCUUUAUUAAUGAAAUAUAUUAUUUAUUAAAUAUAUUUUAUUUUACUCAUAGCUUGCAAUAAUGUAAUUCCUUGUAUCUAAAAGUACAUGAAGCACAUAAAUACUCUUAAAAAAAGAAAAUUUCUACAAUGUCCUGUAGAUUUAGAUUUUGAGUUCUGAAGAGUUAUUGUCAGGGCUUAUGCAAAAGAAAAUGAUGAAGAGACUUGGGAUUUGUCUGUUUGGUUUCAAAUGUAUAAAUAACCAACUCAGAAAGUGAGUGAGAAGGUAACCCCUUGUUAUCUGAUUCAUUGUACAUGCAGAAAUAAUGUAUCCAAAAAAAGGAAAACUUUAGUGAUAUUUUGUUCAUUAUUCUACAAAACAUAUAUCUAUAUAGCAAACAUGUCAUUGAGUUUAGAUUAACUUUCCAUACAUUAUAUUAAAAAGAUUUCCUUAAGGCAACUUUAUAGAAAUUAACAUGGAUUGAUUUUGCAAUUUUAAAAAUAUAUUCUAUAUUAAAUAUUAUAUAUCUUAAAU